Long non-coding RNA from Ctenocephalides felis (cat flea), 452 nucleotides. RefSeq lists it as uncharacterized. Lineage: Eukaryota; Metazoa; Arthropoda; Insecta; Siphonaptera; Pulicidae. The record is from RefSeq and is a predicted model, not a curated record. The transcript is spliced from 3 exons.
GAUGGCUUACAUUCGCUCAAUUACAACAACGCUCGUUCGCGCAUUUGACAGCCGUCGUACGAAUGUGCCAAUAACCUAUAUGUUGUUGCUAAAUAUUUCUGUUCUAGUGUUAAGUGUUCUGUUCUAAAGUUAAUAAAUAAAUUUAGUAUGGUCACGUGCCAAGUUGUUUCAACUAAUGAAUAUUGAAUUGCACGUCUUAAGUGAUGGCCAGAAGUCAAACACUUUUCAAUCAAUUCAAGAAAGCAUCCUAAAGUUCAUGUUCUCCGGAGCCUAAAUAUGCCGGAUUUGUACUAUAUGAAUGUAUUUUAAUAAUAAUUAUUUUAGAACUUGGUAUAUCAAUGUCAAUUCAUAAAAAUGAUGUAGAGGCAGUGGCAGAUUGUCGAAGGAGAGUAAUCUUACUUCAGGCUUCUUUGAGCUGUAUUGAAGUGUGUGGAUUAGACAAAUCUCCUUUA